CUAACAAGGAUUCCCCUAGUAACUGCGAGUGAAGCGGGAAAAGCUCAAAUUUAAAAUCUGGCAGUCUUUGGCUGUCCGAGUUGUAAUCUAGAGAAGUAUUAUCCGCGCUGGACCGUGUACAAGUCUCCUGGAAUGGAGCAUCAUAGAGGGUGAGAAUCCCGUCUUUGACAUGGACUGCCAGGGCUUUGUGAUAUGCUGUCGAAGAGUCGAGUUGUUUGGGAAUGCAGCUCAAAAUGGGUGGUAAAUUCCAUCUAAAGCUAAAUAUUGGCGAGAGACCGAUAGCGAACAAGUACCGUGAGGGAAAGAUGAAAAGAACUUUGGAAAGAGAGUUAAACAGUACGUGAAAUUGCUGAAAGGGAAACGCUUGAAGUCAGUCGCGUUGGCCAGGGAUCAACCUUGCUUUUUUUGCUUGGCUUACUUUCUGGUCAAUGGGUCAGCAUCAAUUUUGACUGGUGGAAAAAGUUCAAGGGAAUGUGGCAUCUUUGGAUGUGUUAUAGCCUUUGUUCAUAUACAUUGGUUGGGAUUGAGGAACUCAGCACGCCGAAAGGCCGGGUUUUUUAACCACGUACGUGCUUAGGAUGCUGGCAUAAUGGCUUUAAUCGACCCGUCUUGAAACACGGACCAAGGAGUCUAACAUGCCUGCGAGUGUUUGGGUGAAAAACCCGAGCGCGUAAUGAAAGUGAAAGUUGAGAUCCCUGUCGUGGGGAGCAUUGACGCCCGGAUCUGACCUUUUGUGACGAUUCUGCGGUAGAGCAUGUAUGUUGGGACCCGAAAGAUGGUGAACUAUGCCUGAAUAGGGUGAAGCCAGAGGAAACUCUGGUGGAGGCUCGUAGCGAUUCUGACGUGCAAAUCGAUCGUCAAAUUUGGGUAUAGGGGCGAAA
Molecule: ribosomal RNA, 881 nt
Filed under: Laccaria versiforma
Lineage: Eukaryota; Fungi; Basidiomycota; Agaricomycetes; Agaricales; Hydnangiaceae
Description: LSU rRNA
Rfam family: Eukaryotic large subunit ribosomal RNA
Source: RNAcentral